Molecule: unclassified non-coding RNA, 1609 nt
Filed under: Hevea brasiliensis (rubber tree)
Lineage: Eukaryota; Viridiplantae; Streptophyta; Magnoliopsida; Malpighiales; Euphorbiaceae
Source: RNAcentral
CAGCAACAUGCUAUUAUGCCACUUCUGCCACCCCGAGCAAUGCCUAUACUUAAGCAUAUUUCGCAGAAAAGGAUUGUGGGUGAAAAAUCCAAAUUGGGAUACGUGAUCUAGAUAAAAGUAUGUAAUGCAGAUAAUAGCAAAAUGCGGCAAGCACUAAAUAUUCAUCCGUAAUCUUGCCCAAUUCUUUAUAAAAUAUAGUCAUUGCUACAACACAUAUAUAUUCUAUAAAUACCUUCAUUACGUAUUUCAGUUUGCUUUGAUUAACUUGUAUUGUAGUAAAUCAGUUAGUAUUGGUUUUGAUAGCUAGCCCCAAAAAAAGAAGAAUGAUAUACAGAGAUUGAUUCACACCCACAAAAUGAUAGAAAAACCUCGAUUUUUUAUAAUUUUUUUCAUUGAAGUUACCCACUCACUGAAGAAGUAUUUCUGUAGAUAAACAGCCUUAGCUAGUAUGAACAAAAUUAUUUGAGUGUGUGGAGGAUGUGCUGGGAAGCUGUUUGGGGGUUGAGUAUGAGUAUGGGGAGGGAAAGAUCCUAAAGGUUGCAUUUUCACAAUGGAGGUAUAGCUGAUAAUGGUGGGUUAUAUAACAUGUAAGACUAAGUAAACAAAUAUCAUUUAUCUUAUAGUAAUUUUUCUCUCUCCCUUCCUAUCCUCUGCAGAGAGAGAGGACGCCUGCUCAUUCUGGGCAGAGCUGAUUACAGCUCAUGAGUAGUAUUAUCAUUUUUAUUUCAAUGUAUCCUAUCUUCGAAAAAUAAAGUAUUUCUCACAAUAUAAUUAUUAUAUUCAAUAAUUCAAUUAAAAUCAUGAUCCACUGAAUCAUAAGAAUAGUAAAAAUUCUUGCAAAUGAUUUGAAAAUAAAUGGUAUUAGUUCUGGUAGAUCUUAAAGGAUCAAUAUGUUAUUUACAACAGAGUUUGUUGCAAAAGAAAUAAGCCUUUGGAAUCAAAAGCAAUAUGUUAUUCACAACAAACAAAGGAGACACUUCUUAAACCUAGCAAAUCUCUGCAUGGACCGACAACUUUUUCUUACAAUGUAGUAAUUACAUUCAAGAAUUCACCUGAAAUCAUGAUUCACUGGAUCAUGAGAAUGACAAAAAAUUUUCAAAGACAGAUAAAAAUGAUGGCAAACCAUCUCAAAAUAAUGGCAUUAGAUUUGUUAAAAUACGUUAGUUAUCAUCACAUUGAUUCACUAUUAAAGCUGCAGAGACUAGUCAAUUUUAAAAGCUUAGAAAUACAAAGCAAAGCAGAAGCAUUGUAAUUAUCAACUUUGUCUUUUGUUCUCCUUUGGUUCACACCAUCCAACUCUCUCUCUCUCCACCUGAUCCUUUACAUUCGAGAUUUCAUGGACAUGAGUACUAAUUUAACGUACAAAUAUAAAACACUGGCCUAAUUAGUUUUCAGCCUAUUUUUUUUUCUCUUAUACAUGUUCUAAAUUGUGGGUUUCAUAUAAAUAAUAUUUUAAUCCUUAACAAAUUCAGAAUAAUUUAACAUCUUCAAUAUGCCUCUAAUAAUGCAAGUACAACUUUAUGGAUUGCCAAAAUAACUCAAAUCACAAUUUUAGCAAUAACAAUACUGUUGAUUGCCACCGUUGCGUCUAUUAAUUCUCUUAAAUUUU